GGCCUGGAUUGCUGUUGAGCUCCUUGGAUAUUAAAGUCCAAAAUUGGAUCAUCUUUGGGUAUCUCCACAUGUGGAUCCUAGGCCUGAGGAGGUCCAGUGGCAGGGCCUGUAGUGCCGCUGGGAGAGUCCGUGGUUAGGAAGGACCUGUUUGAGACGAAGCUGGUGGCGGAUUAGCCAUGAGCAGCUUUGUGAUGUCCAUUUUUUCAUCCUUGCUGUUAUCUUCAGAUGAUUCAUCUGAAGAGAUAUCUUCUGGCUCAGAGGGUAUAGACAUCAUCUGCUGAGGAGAGGG
RNAcentral lists this unclassified non-coding RNA (289 nucleotides) under Hevea brasiliensis (rubber tree). Lineage: Eukaryota; Viridiplantae; Streptophyta; Magnoliopsida; Malpighiales; Euphorbiaceae. The record is from RNAcentral.